RNAcentral lists this ribosomal RNA (380 nucleotides) under Morphacris fasciata. RNAcentral describes it as "partial 16S ribosomal RNA". The stretch from base 1 to 168 matches the Rfam family "Archaeal large subunit ribosomal RNA", at positions 1942 to 2143 of the family's 2987-position model. The record is from RNAcentral. Lineage: Eukaryota; Metazoa; Arthropoda; Insecta; Orthoptera; Acrididae.
GAGUCUUGCCUGCUCACUGAUUUUAAUUUAAAGAGCCGCGGUAUUAUGACCGUGCAAAGGUAGCAUAAUCAUUAGUUUCUUAAUUGGGGACUGGAAUGAAUGGUUUGACGAGAAAUUAACUGUCUCUUAUUAAUUUUUAGAAUUUAACUUUUAAGUUAAAAGGCUUAAAUGAUUCUUGAGGACGAGAAGACCCUAUAGAGCUUUACAUUUAUAAUUUUAUAUUUUUAUUUAGUUGAUUUUUGAAUAUAAUUUUUUUAUUGUUUGGUUGGGGUGACAUGAAGAAUAAUUAAACUCUUCAUUAUAAAAUCAUUGAUUUAUGUUUAUUUGAUCCAUAAUUUAUGAUUAUAAGAUUAAGUUACCUUAAGGAUAACAGCGUACUC